CGCAGCGCGCACCGAGCCGGCCCCGCCGCGCCCGCCACCCUCGCGGCGGUCUCCUCCGCAGGCGCCUGUCGCGGCCGGUAAGUCCCCGCUGGCGGAGCGGCGGCGGUGCCCGCAUCAACUUUCGAUCCCCGCGCUGCUUGUGCCUCGCCAUUCUCUUCUCCGCGGAACAUGGCUGUUUGGAGACGGGGGAGAAGUUAGGGGGUCGCCGGCGCGGGGCGCAGGAGGGCGCGACGGCCUCAGCGGGCGCGGGCGAGCAUUCUAGGUUUCACCUCUACCAACUCCUCCGGGACCAACAUUGACAGCUGAAGGAAGGUUGUGAAUUUGUAUCCCAUCCUAUUCAUCCUUCUCCAGAUUCCAUGAUGAGCUCUCCAGUGCAGCCUGAUGAAAUGCUUUUCCUCAAGCCCAUGUUCAUGAUAAGCUUCCACACCUCGUAUUUGCCAUUUUCAGUAACAAAUGGAAUGCAGAUGCAUUUAUUUCAUUGGGUUUUCUCUUCAGACAGCAUAACAGAUGAGUAACUUUGGUGAUUUCCAGAGUUAUCUGUGGAGAUGAUAAAAAUAUUUAGAAUUCUCAAUUUCUACCAUAUUUAUCAAAAAAGGAAAUAGAUGGGGGAUGGGGUGAAGUGGUAAGGUCUGAACCUUUGGAUUUUUAAAUUGCUCUAGA
RNAcentral lists this long non-coding RNA (660 nucleotides) under Vulpes vulpes (red fox). RNAcentral describes it as "lncRNA (ENSVVUG00000008523.1)". Lineage: Eukaryota; Metazoa; Chordata; Mammalia; Carnivora; Canidae. The record is from RNAcentral.